UACGGAGGGUGCAAGCGUUAUCCGGAUUCACUGGGCUUAAAGGGUGCGUAGGUGGGUCUGUAAGUCCGUGGUGAAAUCUCCGAGCUUAACUUGGAAACUGCCAUGGAUACUAUAGGUCUUGAAUACUGUGGAGGUCAGCGGAAUAUGUCAUGUAGCGGUGAAAUGCUUAGAUAUGACAUAGAACACCAAUUGCGAAGGCAGCUGGCUAGACAAAUAUUGACACUGAUGCACGAAAGCGUGGGGAUCAAACAGG
This 253-nucleotide ribosomal RNA is filed under the name uncultured bacterium. RNAcentral's name for it is "partial 16S ribosomal RNA". It matches the Rfam family "Bacterial small subunit ribosomal RNA", at positions 524 to 776 of the family's 1533-position model. The record is from RNAcentral.